Molecule: RNA transcript, 3038 nt
Organism: Phoenix dactylifera (date palm)
Lineage: Eukaryota; Viridiplantae; Streptophyta; Magnoliopsida; Arecales; Arecaceae
Gene: TCP2
Gene name: TEOSINTE BRANCHED 1, cycloidea and PCF transcription factor 2
Source: RefSeq, a predicted model, not a curated record
CGGAGUGUCUGACCUUUCCCGAUAAGCUCGGUGAUUGCUCGAAUGGGAGCGCCUAGGGCAUCGAAGCACGAGCUCGUCCUCCGCUCUCCCUCCCCUCGGAUAUAUUAAUCUACUCCUCAAAAUCCCUCCUCUCCGAUUCCCCCUCCUCUCCUCCUCUUCUCGCGCAAAACUCCAAGCCCUCGGCGUUUUGGCGGGCUCGUCUCUCCUGUUUCUUAGGUUUUUCUCGAGGGGAUCACGGAGUGGCGGGGAGGAAGGGAUCGAGGUCCGAUAAUGGCGGUGGCGUGUCCGAAGCGGGCGUAGCGAGGGGGGCGGAAGGCCGGCGUGGGGGGAUCUUGGGUGGUGGCUUCAUCUGGAGGGGACCGCUCUGGGAGGCGGAGCCGAGGGAGGCACGAGGCCGGCAUUCGUGAGCGGAAUCUCGGGCACACGAGCGCGGUGCUGGGCGGCGGAGCGAUCGAGGUCCGUUGCCGAGGAAUGCAGCUGGAUCGGAGCUCGUCUGCCUCCAAUCGGUAGAGAAACAGCCGUCGUAGUGUCUCAAGAACCUCGAAUUCUUGGUUUCUAGAGUGGAGCCGCAGAUCCGGAGAGGACAAGGAGAGCAGAUUAUAGAUCUGAAAGCUGAAGACUUAGAUCGAAGCGGAAAGGAAAGAUUAGAACUUUUAUGCUCUCAAGAAAGAAAAACGUCCGAAUUCGAGACCUGUUGCUGCUGCUGCGGUGCGUACAGGCGGCAGUGCUGAUCUCUGUCCGCCUGGCGAGCGAGUAGCGAAAGGGAUAGAAAGAGGGAGCGACCGGAGACCAGCGCGUCUCUCUAGAUGUUGCUAUGACAUCGCUGUGGAAAAGCUGAGGCUAAGAGCUGACAUCUCCGGCCACCAACGCCAUUUCCAGCGUCCAAAGGACAGCGCCACCGACUCCUAGAAACGCUAGCCCGAGCCCAGCUCAGCUUCCUGCGACAGUCUCUCCCUCUUCCCCAAACCGAGAACUUGGGAUAAGGACGGAGCGGGCGCGGAGGUGAUAAGGACGAGCCCAACCCAUCCACCCCGUCUCGGCCCGGCGAGGCAUGAAAGCGGGAUGGAGAUGGAGGAGAACCACGCCUGCAAGCGAUCCCGGGUUGGAAACGGCACCGCCACCAGCAGCAGUCAGGCGGCCAAGAUAGGCCGCAAGACCCAGCACCAGGACGACGACGACGAGGAUGGAGAAGGGAGGGGCGGUGGCGGCGGCGGCGCCGAGAGCCGCGUCAUGUCUUGGCACCACCCUUCCUCUAGGAUCUUCAGAGUCUCUCGGGCCUCCGGCGGCAAGGACCGCCACAGCAAGGUGUACACCGCCAAGGGCCUCCGGGACCGGAGGGUCCGCCUCUCGGUCUCCACCGCUAUCCAGUUCUAUGACCUCCAGGACCGCCUCGGCUACGACCAGCCCAGCAAGGCCAUCGAGUGGCUGAUCAAAGCCGCCGCUGCCGCAAUCAACGAGCUCCCCGCUCUCGACGGCACCUUUCCGGAGGCUCCAAAACCUCAUCACCCUGAAGAAAAGCCGCCGCCGGAGGAGCCUGAUGCCGAGGCCGAGCCCAGCUACAACCAGCAGCAGCAUCUUUCGCUCUCGAAGUCCGGCUGCAGCAGCACCUCCGAAACGAGCAAGGGCUCGGUCCUCUCCCUCUCCCGCUCCGAGAUCCGCGUCAAGGCGCGUGAACGCGCCCGGGUAAGGGUGAAGGACAAGGAGAAAGACCGAGACGAUGGCCAUGUCGCCGUCUCUCAUCACCAGAAUGCGAACCCUUGUCUCAACUCUCAGACCUCCUUCACUGAGCUUCUCACCGGCGGCGGCAGCAGCAAUGGCGCUGACGUUGCCACAGCACAGGCGAACAGCGUUAAUUGUCUCCAGAAGCAAAUGCGGCACCUGCCGACUGUCACGACCACCGCCGAUUACUUUGGCCAAGCAGGUCUCUUUCCCCAGGCACAGAAGUCCCACCAGCUGCCAUCAGGGUUCUCAUCCCAACCCAACUUUGGGAACAGCUCUCCCAUGGGAAUGGCACCGCUCAACAUUGCCGCCACAGCAGCGGGAGCAGGAGACCAUCCGGAGAUGCAGCAGUUUUAUUUCCUGCAGGACCAUCUCAUGUCCGCCUCAGCCAUGGGAGCGGGGCCGGGAGACUAUAACCUCAACUUCCCCAUCUCUUCAGGUCUUGCAGGUUUCAACAGGGGGACCCUUCAGUCCAAUUCACCAUCUCAGUUGCCUCACCACCACCUCCAUAGGCUCUCCUCUCCGGUAGACGGAUCGAACCUGCCCUUCUUCUUUGGCUCCGCUGCGCCAGCUGCGGCCGCCACCUCCGCGGAGAACCAGUUCUCUGCUGGAUUUGAUGGCCGCCUGCAACUCUGCUAUGGGGAUGGCUACCGGCAUUCAGACCUGAAGGGGAAGGGGAAGAGCUGAGGCCUCCUGUGCACCUUCUCCUCGCUGAUGCAUUGCCUCAGCUUGCUAAUUUUAUAUGUCAUGAUUCAAAUAAUAUUGUAAUAAGAAUGGAGCACCAUACUGGAGGUUAAAAGUGUAUUGUUCUUGAUCACAUCCCCCACGGUUGCUACCAUUUCCUCAUAAAAGAAGGCGUUGCAACAGGUUCUGGAAGAACAGAUACCUUAGUUCAGAUCUUAUGAUUGUCCGAUGCCUCAUUUUUAUAUUGCUCCACCUACUAUUGAAAAGAUUCCUUGGUUCAUCUUUUUUGUGUGGAUGAUUCUGUGGAUAGGGUUGUAAUAAACGAGCGGAACUGAAGACAGCAGCCAUGAUGAACUCAAGUCCUUCGCAAACAAGGCAUCUGAAAUGUGAUAUUAUUCAUAUUAUUGGUGUUAUUGUAACUAACAUUGCUGUUUUAUUUAUGUUCCUUGCUGUUCUCAGGAAUGCCAUUUUGUAAUUUAUGAGUCGGAUGAUUUUUAUCUGUGUGGUUCUAGGUUUAGACCUCAUUAUCAGAACCAUAAACAUUUUCUUAAAUUUUUAUUGCUGUCUUGAGUUCAACAAGCUGUAGAUCUGAGAUCUUUGAAGCAAACAGAGUUGGCCGAGGGUUUGUUCGUUCA